Molecule: ribosomal RNA, 482 nt
Filed under: uncultured bacterium
Lineage: Bacteria
Description: partial 16S ribosomal RNA
Rfam family: Bacterial small subunit ribosomal RNA
Source: RNAcentral
ACGCACGCUGGCGGCGUGCUUAACACAUGCCAGUCGAACGCUGAAGCUCAGCUUUUGUUGGGUGGAUGAGUGGCGAACGGGUGAGUAACACGUGAGUAACCUGCCCCCUUCUUUGGGAUAACGCCCGGAAACGGGUGCUAAUACUGGAUAUUCACUGGUCUUCGCAUGGGGGUGGGUGGAAAGGGUUUUUCUGGUGGGGGAUGGGCUCGCGGCCUAUCAGCUUGUUGGUGGGGUGAUGGCCUACCAAGGCUUUGACGGGUAGCCGGCCUGAGAGGGUGACCGGUCACAUUGGGACUGAGAUACGGCCCAGACUCCUACGGGAGGCAGCAGUGGGGAAUAUUGCACAAUGGGCGCAAGCCUGAUGCAGCGACGCCGCGUGAGGGAUGGAGGCCUUCGGGUUGUGAACCUCUUUCGCUCAUGGUCAAGCCGCAACAAUGGUUGUGGUGAGGGUAGUGGGUAAAGAAGCGCCGGCUAACUACGUG